GAUGAACGCUGACAGGAUGCUUAACACAUGCAAGUCAACUUGAAUUUGGGUUUUUAACUUAGAUUUGGGUGGCGGACGGGUGAGUAACGCGUAAAGAACUUGCCUCACAGCUAGGGACAACAUUUAGAAAUGAAUGCUAAUACCUGAUAUUAUGAUUUUAAGGCAUCUUAGAAUUAUGAAAGCUAUAUGCACUGUGAGAGAGCUUUGCGUCCCAUUAGCUAGUUGGAGAGGUAACAGCUCACCAAGGCGAUGAUGGGUAGCCGGCCUGAGAGGGUGAACGGCCACAAGGGGACUGAGACACGGCCCUUACUCCUACGGAAGGCAGCAGUGGGGAAUAUUGGACAAUGGACCGAGAGUCUGAUCCAGCAAUUCUGUGUGCACGAUGAAGUUUUUCGGAAUGUAAAGUGCUUUCAGUUGGGAAGAAAGAAAUGACGGUACCAACAGAAGAAGUGACGGCUAAAUACGUGCCAGCAGCCGCGGUAAUACGUAUGUCACGAGCGUUAUCCGGAUUUAUUGGGCGUAAAGCGCGUCUAGGUGGUUAUGUAAGUCUGAUGUGAAAAUGCAGGGCUCAACUCUGUAUUGCGUUGGAAACUGUAUAACUAGAGUACUGGAGAGGUAAGCGGAACUACAAGUGUAGAGGUGAAAUUCGUAGAUAUUUGUAGGAAUGCCGAUGGGGAAGCCAGCUUACUGGACAGAUACUGACGCUAAAGCGCGAAAGCGUGGGUAGCAAACAGG
This 735-nucleotide ribosomal RNA is filed under the name uncultured Fusobacterium sp. Its description in RNAcentral is "bacterial SSU rRNA". It matches the Rfam family "Bacterial small subunit ribosomal RNA", at positions 28 to 776 of the family's 1533-position model. The record is from RNAcentral. Lineage: Bacteria; Fusobacteriati; Fusobacteriota; Fusobacteriia; Fusobacteriales; Fusobacteriaceae.